RNAcentral lists this ribosomal RNA (386 nucleotides) under uncultured bacterium. RNAcentral describes it as "bacterial SSU rRNA". It matches the Rfam family "Bacterial small subunit ribosomal RNA", at positions 123 to 507 of the family's 1533-position model. The record is from RNAcentral.
AACCUACCUUAUACUGGAAGAUAGCCCGAAGAAAUUCGGAUUAAUACUCCAUAGCAUUAUUUGAGAGCAUUCUUAGAUAAUUAAAGCUCCGGCGGUAUAAGAUGGGCAUGCGUCCUAUUAGCUAGAUGGUAAGGUAACGGCUUACCAUGGCUACGAUAGGUAGGGGGCCUGAGAGGUGGUCCCCCACACUGGUACUGAGACACGGACCAGACUCCUACGGGAGGCAGCAGUGAGGGAAUAUUGGUCAAUGGGCGCAAGCCUGAACCAGCCAUGCCGCGUGAAGGAUGAAGGUUCUAUGGAUUGUAAACUUCUUUUAUUUGGGAAUAAACCUCGAGACGUGUCUCGAGCUGAAGGUACCAAACGAAUAAGCACCGGCUAACUCCGUG